Hypanus sabinus (Atlantic stingray) is the source of this 2266-nucleotide long non-coding RNA. RefSeq lists it as uncharacterized. The record is from RefSeq and is a predicted model, not a curated record. Lineage: Eukaryota; Metazoa; Chordata; Chondrichthyes; Myliobatiformes; Dasyatidae. The transcript is spliced from 2 exons.
GGCCUUGUGGCAGCGUCCCGCCGCUUCGUCAGCUUCAACCGGGCGCUUCUCCAGGCCUUAGGCUCAUAUUUACUUCUCAUCGUUCCAGUGGGCAGUAUCUUAACGAAACGAUCAUUGCGUACAAACUUUAUAGAGGCACAGGCGACGGGAUCACCACGCCAAUCAAGAUGUUAUCCAAUCAGAGUUUGAGACAUGGUACAUGUUUGCUGUCGAUCACUUUUCUGUUACUGAUGCAACUUCGCCGCAAUAAAAGGUAACACAACAAAACACAAUAAACAAUACAAUUGCAUGACCUUAUUCUGGGGAUUUUUACAUUCUGAUGAAAUACUGCUCAUAUUCAUAGCAACAGAUAGUAAAUAGUGCAGCUUGUAUAAUCUGUAAGUGCAAUAUUAUCUAAAAUACUGAGAUCCAGUUUCGGCUUUUAGGAAAAUCUUAAACAUGGAAAACGAGGCAGAGAAUUUUUAAGGAGUUCCAGACUCAAGAAUUGGAAUGGUCUGUCUGGGAUAUCAGAGGGACCAGAAUUGGGAGACUGUUGUUAUUAUUAGUGUACUUGUACCGAAGUAAUGAAAAAAAACUUGUGCAAACACACAUAUUCGUUUACAUCGGCGCAGUGAGGUAGCACAAGUUAAAAUGAUAACAGGUGUACCAAGAGGUACCUGUAUUACGGUACAGAGAAAGUGCAGUGCAGGUUGCAAAGACCUAGAUUACUGGUCACCAACCUGUCGAUCAUGAUCGACUGGUCGAUCUUUGAGAUCUUACGGUAGAUCCCCAAAAAAAUGAAAAAUAAAUACACAGAUGCUGUUGAGAAAUUGUUUCCGGGUUGCGGGGUUUUAGUUCCAUUCUUUCUGCCCAUGUGCAGCUCCCCUGCCAUGCACUUCAGUGGUCCCCAACCACCUGGCCGUGAGGAAACAAUAUGAGUCAGCUCUACCUUCCCUCAUUCCCUGUCACACCCACUGUUGAACUUGCACGCGCGUGAGGUCAUCAGUCGCCUAAAUGCAGUGAUACCCUUGGGCCAGGGAUCAGUGGUUGGUCUCAGGUAACUGGCCGCCUCACGUGACUGGCAGGAAGUGUUGAUGCCACCGGCCUGGAGCGCAGACGGAUGAGCACCCGCCUCUGAACCUGCUUAACACACCGAAUGUUCGUGGGGAAACCCAGUGCUAAAAUAUUCACAGACGACCUAAUUCAGGCUCAGGGUUUCGUAAGUAGCAGAGCAGCUACUUCUCUGCGAUCUACUGAAAGUCAUCCCUCCAGCCAAACUUUUGUUGGCCGAUAGAUCCUACCUACCUACAAGAGGGGUGCGCGGGAGGGCGUUCUGUCGCACUCCUUGCCCGGUCGUUCUCUCUGGACUGCGACCGGCACGGGGACCUCCGGCCCUUACCUUGUCCUCUCACCCUAUCCAUGACCAGCUGCACGUGGCCAAGACGUCUGGCGGCGGGCGGGAGGCGGUCUAAUGAGGCAAUGAAGCCCUCAAAACUACUUCGGUACCUUGAGUCCAAGCACCCCACACUUAAGGACAAACCCAGUGAGUUUUUUGAGUGGAAAAACCGUGAGCAAGUGGGACAGAAGCAAGUGCUGAUAGCUGCAUAAACUAAAUUGGAGAAUAGACUGGACAUAAGGAACCUCCAAGUAUCGCUGUUCUCCGGUUGUGUUUAAACCCACCGCUGUUGGCCAGUCUGCAAGAAUAUUGUCAACAUUAUGUAAAGGGGAUUUCUUCUUUUUCUUUGUUACUGUGUACAUAAUCAAAAUGGCUUCUUUGUUUUGUUAAAAGUAGGAAUGCUUCUUUGUUGCGAGAGAGUGCUGGAAGCUUGUUUGGGUUAAAAUUUACUGAUAAUGAGAAUUGUAUUCCUUUGUAAACCAAUUGGGAUUAAUGUUGUUCUUUCUUCUGAGUCUGUAAGCUAUUGUUGGCGGGCUUUUGGGGAGAUCGGCGCGAGGGGGUGAGAGAGAGAGGACGCGAUGCUGUAAACUGGGCGAGGAACGGACCCCAAGCGGGGGUCCAAGGCCAGGAGGUACCCCGAGGAGAGGAGAUGAAGCUAGAUGUGCUUGGUUGACCACUUCGGAUGGUCCUAAGCUGUGAGUCGAGGAGUUCGGAGGGGAUCGAAUGGUGGCCAGAAGACUUCAGUAAUUGAGCUCCAACAGUUGUACACGAAGUGGUUUGGACUUUGAUAAGUUUGGCACCUUUUCUUUAUUUUUUUUCCUUCAUAUAUACUGUAUCGUUAUUAAUCACUUAGUUAUAGUAACCUUUAUAAAUUGUACUCAUUUAAUCGCA